UACGUGCCAAGCAGCCGCCGGUAAUACGUAGGUGGCCAAGCGUUGUCCGGAUUUAUUGGGCGUAAAGCGAGCGCCGGCGGUUUUUUAAGUCUGAUGUGAAAGCCUUCGGCUCAACCGAAGAAGUGCAUCGGAAACUGGGAAACUUGAGUGCAGAAGAGGACAGUGGAACUCCAUGUGUAGCGGUGAAAUGCGUAGAUAUAUGGAAGAACACCAGUGGCGAAGGCGGCUGUCUGGUCUGUAACUGACGCUGAGGCUCGAAAGUAUGGGUAGCAAACAGGAUUAGAUACCCUGGUAGUCCAUACCGUAAACGAUGAAUGCUAAGUGUUGGAGGGUUUCCGCCCUUCAGUGCUGCAGCUAACGCAUUAAGCAUUCCGCCUGGGGAGUACGGCCGCAAGGCUGAAACUCAAAGGAAUUGACGGGGGCCCGCACAAGCGGUGGAGCAUGUGGUUUAAUUCGAAGCUACGCGAAGAACCUUACCAGGUCUUGACAUACUAUGCAAAUCUAAGAGAUUAGACGUUCCCUUCGGGGACAUGGAUACAGGUGGUGCAUGGUUGUCGUCAGCUCGUGUCGUGAGAUGUUGGGUUAAGUCCCGCAACGAGCGCAACCCUUAUUAUCAGUUGCCAGCAUUAAGUUGGGCACUCUGGUGAGACUGCCGGUGACAAACCGGAGGAAGGUGGGGAUGACGUCAAAUCAUCAUGCCCCUUAUGACCUGGGCUACACACGUGCUACAAUGGAUGGUACAACGAGUUGCGAACUCGCGAGAGUAAGCUAAUCUCUUAAAGCCAUUCUCAGUUCGGAUUGUAGGCUGCAACUCGCCUACAUGAAGUCGGAAUCGCUAGUAAUCGCGGAUCAGCAUGCCGCGGUGAAUACGUUCCCGGGCCUUGUACACACCGCCCGUCACACCAUGAGAGUUUGUAACACCCAAAGUCGGUGGGGUAACCUUUUAGGAACCAG
Molecule: ribosomal RNA, 954 nt
Filed under: Lactiplantibacillus argentoratensis
Lineage: Bacteria; Bacillati; Bacillota; Bacilli; Lactobacillales; Lactobacillaceae
Description: bacterial SSU rRNA
Rfam family: Bacterial small subunit ribosomal RNA
Source: RNAcentral